CUCUUAUCAAGAGAGGUUGAGGGAUCUGGCCCUUUGACGCCUCGGCAACCAUUGAACUUAAUUGUUCAACAGGUGCCAAAUCCAGCAGAACAAUACGUUCUGAAAGAUGAGGG
RNAcentral lists this non-coding RNA (113 nucleotides) under Evansella cellulosilytica. RNAcentral's name for it is "Bacillus cellulosilyticus SAM-I sequence". It matches the Rfam family "SAM riboswitch aptamer (S box leader)". From Rfam's summary of the family: The SAM riboswitch is found upstream of a number of genes which code for proteins involved in methionine or cysteine biosynthesis in Gram-positive bacteria. Lineage: Bacteria; Bacillati; Bacillota; Bacilli; Caryophanales; Bacillaceae. The record is from RNAcentral. RNAcentral also lists the same sequence under 1 other name.